UGACCUCGGAUCAGGUAGGGUUACCCGCUGAACUUAAGCAUAUCAAUAAGCGGAGGAAAAGAAACCAACCGGGAUUGCCUCAGUAACGGCGAGUGAAGCGGCAAGAGCUCAAAUUUGAAAUCUGGCCCCCUCGGGGUCCGAGUUGUAAUUUGGAGAGGAUGCUUCGGGCGUGGCCCCCAUCUAAGUGCCCUGGAACGGGCCGUCAUAGAGGGUGAGAAUCCCGUCUGGGAUGGGUGGUCCCGCCCGUGUGAAGCUCCUUCGACGAGUCGAGUUGUUUGGGAAUGCAGCUCUAAGCGGGUGGUAAAUUUCAUCUAAAGCUAAAUAUUGGCCGGAGACCGAUAGCGCACAAGUAGAGUGAUCGAAAGAUGAAAAGCACUUUGAAAAGAGAGUUAAACAGCACGUGAAAUUGUUGAAAGGGAAGCGUUGGCCACCAGACUCGCCCGGGGGGGCUCAGCCGGCACUCGUGCCGGUGCACUCCCUCCCGGGCGGGCCAGCGUCGGUUUGGGCGGUCGGUCAAAGGCCCCGGGAAUGUAACACCCUCCGGGGUGCCUUAUAGCCCGGGGUGCCAUGCGACCUGCCCGGACCGAGGAACGCGCUCCGGCUCGGACGCUGGCGUAAUGGUGGUCAACGGCC
This 633-nucleotide ribosomal RNA is filed under the name Penicillium sp. NRRL 35203. RNAcentral describes it as "eukaryotic LSU rRNA". It matches the Rfam family "Eukaryotic large subunit ribosomal RNA", at positions 1 to 649 of the family's 3401-position model. RNAcentral also lists the same sequence under 3 other names. The record is from RNAcentral. Lineage: Eukaryota; Fungi; Ascomycota; Eurotiomycetes; Eurotiales; Aspergillaceae.